CUUAUAUUCUGUAGCAAGGUUAACCGUAUAGGGGAGCCGAAGGGAAACCGAGUCUUAACUGGGCGUUAAGUUGCAGGGUAUAGACCCGAAACCCGGUGAUCUAGCCAUGGGCAGGUUGAAGGUUGGGUAACACUAACUGGAGGACCGAACCGACUAAUGUUGAAAAAUUAGCGGAUGACUUGUGGCUGGGGGUGAAAGGCCAAUCAAACCGGGAGAUAGCUGGUUCUCCCCGAAAGCUAUUUAGGUAGCGCCUCGUGAACUCAUCUUCGGGGGUAGAGCACUGUUUCGGCUAGGGGGUCAUCCCGACUUACCAACCCGAUGCAAACUGCGAAUACCGAAGAAUGUUAUCACGGGAGACACACGGCGGGUGCUAACGUCCGUCGUGAAGAGGGAAACAACCCAGACCGCCAGCUAAGGUCCCAAAGUCACAGUUAAGUGGGAAACGAUGUGGGAAGGCUCAGACAGCCAGGAUGUUGGCUUAGAAGCAGCCAUCAUUUAAAGAAAGCGUAAUAGCUCACUGGUCGAGUCGGCCUGCGCGGAAGAUGUAACGGGGCUAAACUGUGCACCGAAGCUGCGGCAGCGACGCUUAUGCGUUGUUGGGUAGGGGAGCGUUCUGUAAGCCUGCGAAGGUGUCCUGUGAGGGAUGCUGGAGGUAUCAGAAGUGCGAAUGCUGACAUAAGUAACGAUAAUGCGGGUGAAAAGCCCGCUCGCCGGAAGACCAAGGGUUCCUGUCCAACGUUAAU
This 743-nucleotide ribosomal RNA is filed under the name Salmonella enterica subsp. enterica serovar Kentucky. RNAcentral describes it as "partial 23S ribosomal RNA". It matches the Rfam family "Bacterial large subunit ribosomal RNA", at positions 627 to 1369 of the family's 2925-position model. The record is from RNAcentral. Lineage: Bacteria; Pseudomonadati; Pseudomonadota; Gammaproteobacteria; Enterobacterales; Enterobacteriaceae.